GUGGGGAAUAUUGCACAAUGGGCGAAAGCCUGAUGCAGCAACGCCGCGUGAGUGAAGAAGUAUCUCGGUAUGUAAAGCUCUAUCAGCAGGGAAGAAAAUGACGGUACCUGACUAAGAAGCCCCGGCUAACUACGUGCCAGCAGCCGCGGUAAUACGUAGGGGGCAAGCGUUAUCCGGAUUUACUGGGUGUAAAGGGAGCGCAGACGGCACUGCAAGUCUGAAGUGAAAGCCCGGGGCUCAACCCCGGGACUGCUUUGGAAACUGUAGAGCUAGAGUGCUGGAGAGGCAAGCGGAAUUCCUAGUGUAGCGGUGAAAUGCGUAGAUAUUAGGAAGAACACCAGUGGCGAAGGCGGCUUGCUGGACAGUAACUGACGUUCAGGCUCGAAAGCGUGGGGAGCAAACAGGAUUAGAAACCCUAGUAGUCCC
RNAcentral lists this ribosomal RNA (426 nucleotides) under uncultured bacterium. RNAcentral describes it as "bacterial SSU rRNA". It matches the Rfam family "Bacterial small subunit ribosomal RNA", at positions 354 to 797 of the family's 1533-position model. The record is from RNAcentral.